RNAcentral lists this ribosomal RNA (790 nucleotides) under uncultured archaeon. Its description in RNAcentral is "bacterial SSU rRNA". It matches the Rfam family "Archaeal small subunit ribosomal RNA", at positions 85 to 878 of the family's 1478-position model. The record is from RNAcentral.
ACUGCUCAGUAACACGUAGUCAACAUGCCCAGGGGACGUGGAUAACCUCGGGAAACUGAGGAUAAACCGCGAUAGGCCAAGAUUUCUGGAAUGAAUCAUGGUUUAAAUCUAUAUGGCCCCUGGAUUGGACUGCGGCCGAUCAGGCUGUUGGUGAGGUAAUGGCCCACCAAACCUGUAACCGGUACGGGCUCUGAGAGGAGGAGCCCGGAGAUGGGCACUUAGACAAGGGCCCAGGCCCUAUGGGGCGCAGCAGGCGCGAAACCUCUGCAAUAAGCGAAAGCUUGACAGGGUUACUCUGAGUGAUUUCCGCUAAGGAAGUCUUUUGGCACCUCUAAAAAUGGUGCAGAAUAAGGGGUGGGCAAGUCUGGUGUCAGCCGCCGCGGUAAUACCAGCACCCCGAGUGGUCGGGACGAUUAUUGGGCCUAAAGCAUCCGUAGCCGGUCCUGCAAGUCCUCCGUUAAAUCCACCCGCUCAACGGUUGGGCCGCGGGGGAUACUACAGGGCUAGGAGGCGGGAGAGGCAAGCAGUACUCGAUGGGUAGGGGUAAAAUCCACUGAUCCAUUGAAGACCACCAGUGGCGAAGGCGGCUUGCCAGAACGCGCUCGACGGUGAGGGAUGAAAGCUGGGGGAGCAAACCGGAUUAGAUACCCGGGUAGUCCCAGCUGUAAACGAUGCAGACUCGGUGAUGGGCUGGCUUCGUGCCAACCCGGUGCCGCAGGGAAGCCGUUAAGUCUGCCGCCUGGGGAGUACGGUCGCAAGACUGAAACUUAAAGGAAUUGGCGGGGGAGCA